ACGGGUGAGUAAUGCCUAGGAAUCUGCCUGGUAGUGGGGGAUAACGCUCGGAAACGGACGCUAAUACCGCAUACGUCCUACGGGAGAAAGCAGGGGACCUUCGGGCCUUGCGCUAUCAGAUGAGCCUAGGUCGGAUUAGCUAGUUGGUGAGGUAAUGGCUCACCAAGGCGACGAUCCGUAACUGGUCUGAGAGGAUGAUCAGUCACACUGGAACUGAGACACGGUCCAGACUCCUACGGGAGGCAGCAGUGGGGAAUAUUGGACAAUGGGCGAAAGCCUGAUCCAGCCAUGCCGCGUGUGUGAAGAAGGUCUUCGGAUUGUAAAGCACUUUAAGUUGGGAGGAAGGGCCAUUACCUAAUACGUGAUGGUUUUGACGUUACCGACAGAAUAAGCACCGGCUAACUCUGUGCCAGCAGCCGCGGUAAUACAGAGGGUGCAAGCGUUAAUCGGAAUUACUGGGCGUAAAGCGCGCGUAGGUGGUUCGUUAAGUUGGAUGUGAAAGCCCCGGGCUCAACCUGGGAACUGCAUUCAAAACUGUCGAGCUAGAGUAUGGUAGAGGGUGGUGGAAUUUCCUGUGUAGCGGUG
Molecule: ribosomal RNA, 585 nt
Filed under: uncultured Pseudomonas sp.
Lineage: Bacteria; Pseudomonadati; Pseudomonadota; Gammaproteobacteria; Pseudomonadales; Pseudomonadaceae
Description: bacterial SSU rRNA
Rfam family: Bacterial small subunit ribosomal RNA
Source: RNAcentral